AACGCCGCGUGAGUGAAGAAGGUGUUCGGAUCGUAAAGCUCUGUUGAUGGGGACGAACGUGCGAGAGGUGAAUAAUCUCUUGUAAUGACGGUACCUAUCGAGGAAGCCACGGCUAACUACGUGCCAGCAGCCGCGGUAAUACGUAGGUGGCGAGCGUUGUCCGGAAUCAUUGGGCGUAAAGGGAGCGCAGGCGGGCAUGUAAGUCUUUCUUAAAAGUUCGGGGGCUCAACCCCGUGAUGGGAAAGAAACUACAUGUCUUGAGUACAGGAGAGGAAAGCGGAAUUCCCAGUGUAGCGGUGAAAUGCGUAGAUAUUGGGAGGAACACCAGUGGCGAAGGCGGCUUUCUGGACUGCAACUGACGCUGAGGCUCGAAAGCCAGGGGAGCGAACGGGAUUAGAUACCCCGGUAGUCCUGGCCGUAAACGAUGGAUACUAGGUGUGGGAGGUAUCGACCCCUACCGUGCCGGAGUUACGCCAUAAGUAUCCGCCUGGGAGUAC
This 497-nucleotide ribosomal RNA is filed under the name Selenomonas sp. oral taxon 481. Its description in RNAcentral is "bacterial SSU rRNA". It matches the Rfam family "Bacterial small subunit ribosomal RNA", at positions 393 to 883 of the family's 1533-position model. Lineage: Bacteria; Bacillati; Bacillota; Negativicutes; Selenomonadales; Selenomonadaceae. The record is from RNAcentral.